GGUUUCAAUAGUGUCAAUAGUUGUUUCCAGGUUCCUAAAUUAAAAGCCGUUAUUCUCCCAGCAGGGGGAGAUCUGAGGAUGCACUAACACCUCCCAUCAGCAGCACGAAGGCAGACAAAGAUGUGGUGCUCCCUCAGUGUGCAACUAAAAGAAAAGAGAAGAACUACGAUGAUGUACAUUGCGCUGGCAUUUAUUCCAACGAUCCUGUAUAUGGCAACAUGGAGAGUGACUGGGAUGACGCAAUCUAUGGCAAUAUGUAACUUAAAUGAAUUGGAGGAACAGAUGCAGUCCCGCUGUUGUCCAACUGAUGUGAGUCGAGAAAGCUGUACAAAUAUGAAUAUGCUUUCUUCUGUAUAUAUGUGUGAUUUUCUUCAGUUUUCUGUGAUUCACAUAUAUGUUUUUUUUAAUUUUUUUUAAGUACAUUAUGUGUUGAAUUUUCAUUCACGGCUAUAAAAGCAACAUGGUCACUGUGCUCAUCACAGAUGUUGUAUGAGUACGCGCAGCCUCACAGAUUGUAUUCACUCAUUAUUCAACUAAAAGAAGUUACACAGUGAACAUGUUCUGUGUGUGCUCGGGUCAAUGUGGAAAACCCCUUGAGGCUUUCAAAGUGUGUGAAUAAUAAAAAGACAGGAAGGCAAAGGGGAAGCUGGUCACCGUCUCUGGUGCUAUAACGGUACUGAAGUGAGCACACAUUUCAAACACAGAAACACCCAACACUACACAAUUCUCGGCACAAGCUUUGCCUCAAAUGAUCAUAAACAAUAACCGCAAACAGUUUUCCUCAAAAGCGUAGUAAUAUUUAGAAAAAUGUGGAAAAAAGAAUUAGAGGCAUCUUCCCAUUUUAAAGCAGUCUGAAUUAUAUUACUGUGUAAAAAAUCCAUUAAUGGAAUCUGGAAAAAACAGCUUAAAGCUUAAUGCUAACUAAUUUAACAAUCUUUAGCAUUCAGAUAAAGAAAAACACAUUUGUGAAGAGUAGCCCAUAAGAAAUUAAAAUAUUGCCUGUUGAUUUGUUGUCUUUACUCCCUUGAAUGUUGAACCUCAUAUACUGUAGGUGCCCUGAAACAUUGUAUCAUCUGAAAUAAUAAAAAAAUACACA
Molecule: long non-coding RNA, 1096 nt
Filed under: Cyclopterus lumpus (lumpfish)
Lineage: Eukaryota; Metazoa; Chordata; Actinopteri; Perciformes; Cyclopteridae
Description: lncRNA (ENSCLMG00005011923.1)
Source: RNAcentral